This 31-nucleotide non-coding RNA is filed under the name Homo sapiens (human). Lineage: Eukaryota; Metazoa; Chordata; Mammalia; Primates; Hominidae. The record is from RNAcentral.
CCAGGGUGUCAAUGCAAAUGAAAUGAUGGCA